AUAGGACGACCUUGAUCAAAGUUUUAAAUUGACGCCAUUUAACAUCGAAAUGUCAACAUUGCGAGAUGAUAAGUAAACAUUAGUAAAUGCCAUCCAUGUGACAUUUUAACAUUAUGAUUAUUGGCGCUGAAGACGUUUUAUUUUCUUGUUCUAACCACUGAGCACAGUGCUUAGUAAUGUUCUUUGAUGUCAAGUAAUGUAUUAAAAAUAACAACUAUUGAAUACUAAAUAUAAUAGACAAUUAAUUGUGAAGCAAGUGUUCUAAGUGUUCAAGUAAAUCACACUAAAGAACUAGGAUCAGUGUAAAGGAUCACCAAAGGAUCUACAUGAAAGGACAUCAAUUAAGCAUCAUUAAACAUCAGAAUGGAACAAAAUGUUGGAUUUCCAAAGAAAGAAAAAAAUAUACUUCUUAACCAAGUGUUCAAAUUAAAAUUUAGCAAUAGUGUUGGAGAAGAUUGGAAAACUCUUGGACGUUGGUUAAAUAUUAACGAUAGCUAUUUAGGCAUGAUUGAUCAAGAUAAUACUAAAACUGUUGAGAAAGCUUAUAAUAUGUUAUCUAAAUGGAUGGAAAUGAAUAAAAAUCCAACACUUGAAGAGUUAAAAACGUCUUUAAAGAACAUGGAGAGAUUUGAUCUAAUAAGAAAAUUAGAGGAAUUAGCAACUUGGGCAGUUGUUGAUGUAACAAAAAUUACAACAAUAACUACAAAAAAUUCAACUGCAAGAACUACAAUGACAACAAUAUCAGCAGCAACAAUGUAAGCAGUAACAGGAGCAUUCAAGUGUGUACACAACUGGGUAAGAAAUUAUAAGAAGAGGAGGUUUGUUUUUUGUGUGCAGUGUAGUGCAGUGGAUGAUCUAAGGCUCUAAUUUUGAGGCACAGCUGUCUAAGUAGCAGUUUAUUUAGGUAGUUGUAGUCAAGUGCGCGUAUACCAACUGACUUAAAUAAUAAGAAGGAAAUAAUAAUUAAAAAAUUGCUGGACAAAAAAUACUUCAACAGCUUUAAAAAAAAGUAAUUAAACAGUGAUGUCAUAUACUGAAACGGUUAAGAACACGCAUGAAAUAAAUUAUCUAGUCUGCAGAUUGUGGCAUAUAUUUCAAAGACUCCAAGAAUCAAAAAAAAUGAAGAAGG
Hydra vulgaris (swiftwater hydra) is the source of this 1129-nucleotide non-coding RNA. Lineage: Eukaryota; Metazoa; Cnidaria; Hydrozoa; Anthoathecata; Hydridae. The record is from RefSeq and is a predicted model, not a curated record.